Heterocephalus glaber (naked mole-rat) is the source of this 5379-nucleotide non-coding RNA. The record is from RefSeq and is a predicted model, not a curated record. Lineage: Eukaryota; Metazoa; Chordata; Mammalia; Rodentia; Bathyergidae.
GCGCCAUGCAUGGAUUCUGUCACUUGUGUGGUCCUGGGACAGUUGCCUGUGGAUCCCAGGGGACUCCUGUCCACCCAUUCACACAAAGAACGACUGUUCUUUAGCCCAGCAUGGUGGUGGCGCUCACCUGUAACCCCAGCACUGGGGAGGCUGGGGGAGGACCAUAACAAGUUCUAGCCCAGCCUGGGGAACUUAGCAAGACCCUGUCUCAAAAUUUUAAAAAAAGGGGGCGGGGAUGUAAUGGUGUGAAGGCCCUGGGUUUGGUCCUCAGUUCUACAAAAAAAAAAAAAAAAAAAAAAAGAAGCAGCCGAGGGUGAUGGCACACACUUGUAAUCCUAGCACUGGGGAGGCUGAGGCAGAAGGAUCACCCACCAGUUCGGGGGCAGCUAGGCUACAUAGUGAAAACACAGCCUCCACAUAGGGGCCACCUAGCCUCCCUGGGUAUGUACUUCCGGGCUGGCUUGCUGUUCCUCUUCCAGCAGGCUCGCAUGUCUGCAAAAAGGUCACCUCCUCCUGGAGUCCUUUCCUGCCGCCUAUGAACAACAGCUCCUUAGCAGCCUGACCCAUGAGCCUGGCUCUAUUGCGCUUCCAAGCACACACUGCCACCUGAUGUCCCUUUUCUGGCUGUUGUUCCUCUCCCUGAGGUCAGGGCCACCUCUGUGCAGCUCCCUGUUGCCUCCUGGAACACAGGAGAGCUCAGAAAAUGGCGAGCAGAGUAACAAAUGCGCCCGUGGGCGAACGAAGUCCUUGGGCUCCGCUUGUGCUUGUGCUCGGCCCCAGUGCUUGCUCUCCAGGCGCCUGACUUCCUGGCCCCAGAGCCGGCAGCAGCCUGGGGGGUGAGCUGGGCAGGAACCUCCUUCCUGGGAGGAGCCCAAGUGGCUUGGAGACCUCAGUCAAGGUUGCACGGGCACCUGUGACGGGGGCGGCAGCAGCUGGUUCCCAGUGCAAGGUCACUGCCAGCCAGUCCGCUCCCAAAGCACCAGCUCAGCCAGGUGUGGUGGAGGCUGAGGCAGGAGGGUUGCAAAUUCAAGCUCAGCCUGAGUAAUUCAGUGACUCAGCAAGACCGUCUCUCAAAAUAAAAAAAUGGGCUGGGGAUGUAGCUCAAGGUGAAGGCCCCGCAUUCAGUCCUCAGUACCGUAAAAACAAAUAAGAAAAAACAAAAAAACAAACCAGUUCAAGUUCUCCCAAGAAGCCUUCCCCAUAGGAAUCAACCCCUGGCCCACAGUCUCCUCAGUGGUAAAGGGAUGUGAAAAGCAAGUGAGCCUUGAUGGUUAGCCAGGCGCUUAUAAUCCAGCACUUGGGAGGCUGAGACAGGAGGAUACAAGUUCAAGGCCAGCCUGGGUAAUUCAGUGAGAGCCUAUCUCCAAAUAAAACAGAAAGCAGGGCUGGGGCUGAGCUCAGUUGCAGAGCUCUUGCCUAAUGUGUGUGAGGCCCUAGAUUCCAUCUGCAGCACCGAUAGCUGCCACCAGCGAAUAAAGAUGGUGAACGCCACAGUACUCCUCUGAGGCCACCCUGCUCACAAGCACACAGACCUGCAGUGAGUCACCCAAGCCGCACAGCUGAAGGGCAGGGCUGUCCAGGUGCCUUGCUCCUGGUGCACCCAGAAAGAACUGGGGAGCAAUACUCAGCCUAUCUGCCCAGCCCUAGGCCUGUCUUCUCUGGGUUGCCUUCCUGGCCUAACUCUGUCCACCUCAGCUGUCCCUAGGCCCUACGGGUGCUGCUGUCCCCACACCUCCCUGGUAGGGCUUGAGUGUCCUGGAUACCCUGUCCCACCCAGGUCAGGAGUGCCUGCGCCAUUCACACCCGUAUCUCGGGACCCUGGCACCUUCCUCCCCGGGGUCUUUGUUUCUUUUUCUGAGAAAGGAACUGCCAGACCCUGCCCUGAGCUGGUUAGUAAAGGGCCUGCAGACCACAGCUGGAUGUGGUAGGGCACACCUGUGAUCCUGCCACUGAGGAGGCUGAGGCAGGAGGAUCCCUUCAAGUUUGAGGUCAGCCUGGGCUGCAAACUGAGACCCUGUCUCAAAAGGACCUAACCAAUCUGUAAAUAAAAGCCAGGUGCUCCAUACAGAGGAUGCGCAUGUCUCUGGGGGAGGUGCAGCCGCCCCUCUUCCUGUGGUUGAUGGGGCCAUGGUGGGCGGAAGUGCAGCUUAUCCCACCUGGGUAUUUCCUUUGUGCCCUUGCCUCAGCUGCCCUGUCGGGGGCAGAGGUCCCCAAGGCCCAGAGCUGAGCUGAGGAGUGCAGGGUGUCACCAGGCCGAAGUGGUUUCCAGCCCAGGCCGGGGCGCGGUGCGGCAGAGUGACAAGGGAAGCAGCAGAAGAGGAACCCACUUUUACCAGCUGCGGGGCCCACCCACCUGCGCUUCCUCCUGAGACAGGAGGUGCCGGGAGCCUUGCCCUGAGCCCAGAGACCAUGAUGGGACCCUGGCCUCACCUCACCCCUCACUCCUCCACCUUUCUGGUUCCUUGUUUGAGCUGCUCCUUCACCCCCCUUUUCCGCCUGUCAUCAGGCUGGGAGGGGACCCAGUGCUCCCACAAGGCCCCAGGCCCAGGCUAGGUCUGCGGGUGUCUGAAGCCCUCGCCCCAGCCUGGGCCUCACCACAGCUUCCGGCCUCUGAGGACCUGACAGGGCGAAGGCGAGGCUGUGGCAUGAUGGGUGCUUGGGCCCGGCUCCCUCCGCUUCUGCGCUGAGCCCACGGCAGGCACUGUGGUGUCUGCAACGGCUUCCGCAGGAAGGUGACCACGACGUGCAGACUGCCCUUGGUGACAAGGGCCUGGGGCUGGUCAGGGCUGUCCUGAACCUCCACGGUCCCAUAGCUUGACUCACUGCUGACGGCCUAGGCCAUCCUGUGCUAGAACCUUCUACGCCCCCGGCUGGCUCCUCUCUGGCCUGGCUCUUGCCCUCAUUGCCCUGGCCUCUGCCUCUCUCUUAAGAGGGUCACCUGGCCCUCCUCCCACCCUGAUGUGUCACUCACUCAUCCCACAGUCGCUUCUAGCUGCACUCUCUGACACGCACCGGGGCGACCCAGUAACCACCCCAAGUCGCCUGCUGAUGGGGUUUCCUAGGUCUAGGGCGUCCCCAGUCACCAUCUUGAUUGGGAAGCUACUCAAUACCGGGCUCACAGGAACUGUGUAGGGUGGCCUCGAGAGGAUCCCUGCUGGGAAACUGGUGCCCCUUGAAGCUGGGCUGAGGGCCAGCACAGAGCCCUGAGUGUCCUGAGUGACAGAAGCACUUAAAAGCAUCACAAGUGUGCACCCCUGUAAGCCCCGCACUCAGGAGCUGAGGCAGGCGGGUCAAGGGCAACCUGAACUACAUGGCCAGAUGCUGUCUCAAAAACACCCUAAGCCAAUAAAUAAAUAAACAAACAAACAAACAGUGAGUCACAAAGAGCACUGGUCAUAGCCCAGUGGUAGAGUGCUUGUCUAGCAUAUGUUUGGGCCCACGUCAGAUCCCUAGCGCCAUAAAAGCAAAGGAAAACAAAAAAUCACUACGACACCUCCGAGGCCCCUGGAGAGCCAGUCCUGUCUCAAGUGCUGUAAUCUGAUUUAAUCCUCAUGACGAUUUUAGGCCUGAUGAGAACACUGAGGCCUGGGUGUCCCCAGUGAUACCUCCGGCCUGUUCCCAAACAAGGUGCUCUAAGGAGCUGACAGAGGAGAGGACCUGGGACAGACCCCCAGAGCUGCUGCUUAUGAAGGAAGACACUGCCUGGAGGGACAGAGGGAUCUGAGGACAGAAGCAGGACAAGGAGAGUGAAAAUAAAAGUGUCCCCAAGGACUUUUACUUCCGAGGGGACUGGCCACGCCUCGGGAAUUCCUGGGCAGCCCUGGGCUCUCCCUGCUCACCUGGGGCUGCAGGCUGUGCUCUGGGGCAGCCCAGUGGGUCCCCACCCCCAGGGGGAUCAUGGGAGGCCACUGGAGGGGGGGGGACCCCGACAUCGGGCCUGCUCAGGCCAGGACAGCAGUGAGAGCCCCGUUGGGAGCCCAGGGAGAGGAGGUCUGGAUUUUGGCCCAUCCAGGUGAGUGGAGAUUGACUCACACGUGCUGGCUGGGCUGUCUGGGGAAGGGACACCCGGAGUCUUGGUUCCACCCAGGUCACUAAACAUUGAGUCACAGAGCCGAGUGAGGCUCCGCUUGGGGAUUCUGACCUUUGUUCCCAAUGUGGUGAUGCCCAGAAGGGAAACCAGGUCCUUCUCCUGUUUCUCCCACCCUUACCACACCGUUCUCAUGACUGAAAUGAUUGCCACACUGGCCUAACUCCGAUUGGUGACAAGCUCCAGGUGGAUGUAGAACCUUAUUUUGGGUGUUUUCCAACUCUCUGUCACUUCCUCCCUUCAUUUUCUUUUUUGGUACUGGGGAUCAAACUCGGGACCUUGCGCUUGUGAGGCAGGCGGCAGAACCACUGAGCUAAAUUCCCAACCCUCGCUUUCUUUUUUACUCUUUUUGUAGCAAGAGCUCACCAUGUAGCUAUGUAGCCCAGUCUGGCCUUGAACUUGUGGCAAUCAUCCUGCCUCAGCCUCCCAAGCACUAGGAUCACAGGCAUGCACUACCAAGCCUGGGUUUCUCCAUUUAUCUUCUACAGUUGUCUAGUUUCCUUCGAGGAAACCAAGUCUAACUGCAGCUAUGGAAUUCCACAUCCCUGACCUGAAAUCCAUGGGACUCCAGAAGCCUGGGGCACAGAAUCGGCAUCCACAGGAUGUAUCUGCGUGGUACCCGAGAAGAUGCAAACUUGUGGGGGCGGUGUCUGCCGCCCACGCCAGGCCUUCUCUCCGUGUUGUGCAGGCCGGCGCUGGGGGACAGGGUUCUGAUUCCCUACCCUCCUCCCGCCUCCCCGGGCCGCCGCUCGGGACGUGGCGCCCUCUGCCGGAUGAUCGAAGCCUGGCCCCAAACCACUAACCACGUGGGUAGCGGCAUCCUUGAGUCGGGGCCGGAGGCAGGAAUUUAGCGAGACACCAUCGGGGAGGGGUAGGGAGAUCAGCUGGUCCGCUGGUCCCCUGCACGCGCCCUGGGGGUAAUGGUAAUCCCACCCCGCCCUGAAAUUCCAGGCCUGCGACUUUUAUCUUAGGAGCACACCCUCCCCAACAGCUCCUGGUUUCGCUCACUCCAUGCAGGGAGUUGCUGAGCUCACUCGUGGUCCUGUCCCCUCCGGUACCCCGGGCUGACUGUCCCCUGCCCAGGUGGUGGCAGAGGGAUCCCUGGAGCCUAGGCGCAGCAGCAGGUGCAAGACGAAGUGUGGCCGCCAGAGAGCAGCAGUGACCGCCCGCGGAAACCCAUAGACAACAGCCGAUCUGGAAGGAGGCCAGGUUCUUAGGUGGGCACCCUCUCCUGUCGCUGGAUGGAGGAUCUUCUAGGUCAAGGGCUCCAUCGAUAAAUAAAUACACAUCCA